Molecule: ribosomal RNA, 1561 nt
Filed under: Vibrio owensii
Lineage: Bacteria; Pseudomonadati; Pseudomonadota; Gammaproteobacteria; Vibrionales; Vibrionaceae
Description: bacterial SSU rRNA
Rfam family: Bacterial small subunit ribosomal RNA
Source: RNAcentral
AAAUUGAAGAGUUUGAUCAUGGCUCAGAUUGAACGCUGGCGGCAGGCCUAACACAUGCAAGUCGAGCGGAAACGAGUUAUCUGAACCUUCGGGGAACGAUAACGGCGUCGAGCGGCGGACGGGUGAGUAAUGCCUAGGAAAUUGCCCUGGUGUGGGGGAUAACCAUUGGAAACGAUGGCUAAUACCGCAUAAUGCCUACGGGCCAAAGAGGGGGACCUUCGGGCCUCUCGCGUCAGGAUAUGCCUAGGUGGGAUUAGCUAGUUGGUGAGGUAAUGGCUCACCAAGGCGACGAUCCCUAGCUGGUCUGAGAGGAUGAUCAGCCACACUGGAACUGAGACACGGUCCAGACUCCUACGGGAGGCAGCAGUGGGGAAUAUUGCACAAUGGGCGCAAGCCUGAUGCAGCCAUGCCGCGUGUGUGAAGAAGGCCUUCGGGUUGUAAAGCACUUUCAGUCGUGAGGAAGGUAGUGUAGUUAAUAGCUGCAUUAUUUGACGUUAGCGACAGAAGAAGCACCGGCUAACUCCGUGCCAGCAGCCGCGGUAAUACGGAGGGUGCGAGCGUUAAUCGGAAUUACUGGGCGUAAAGCGCAUGCAGGUGGUUUGUUAAGUCAGAUGUGAAAGCCCGGGGCUCAACCUCGGAAUAGCAUUUGAAACUGGCAGACUAGAGUACUGUAGAGGGGGUAGAAUUUCAGGUGUAGCGGUGAAAUGCGUAGAGAUCUGAAGGAAUACCGGUGGCGAAGGCGGCCCCCUGGACAGAUACUGACACUCAGAUGCGAAAGCGUGGGGAGCAAACAGGAUUAGAUACCCUGGUAGUCCACGCCGUAAACGAUGUCUACUUGGAGGUUGUGGCCUUGAGCCGUGGCUUUCGGAGCUAACGCGUUAAGUAGACCGCCUGGGGAGUACGGUCGCAAGAUUAAAACUCAAAUGAAUUGACGGGGGCCCGCACAAGCGGUGGAGCAUGUGGUUUAAUUCGAUGCAACGCGAAGAACCUUACCUACUCUUGACAUCCAGAGAACUUUCCAGAGAUGGAUUGGUGCCUUCGGGAACUCUGAGACAGGUGCUGCAUGGCUGUCGUCAGCUCGUGUUGUGAAAUGUUGGGUUAAGUCCCGCAACGAGCGCAACCCUUAUCCUUGUUUGCCAGCGAGUAAUGUCGGGAACUCCAGGGAGACUGCCGGUGAUAAACCGGAGGAAGGUGGGGACGACGUCAAGUCAUCAUGGCCCUUACGAGUAGGGCUACACACGUGCUACAAUGGCGCAUACAGAGGGCAGCAAGCUAGCGAUAGUGAGCGAAUCCCAAAAAGUGCGUCGUAGUCCGGAUUGGAGUCUGCAACUCGACUCCAUGAAGUCGGAAUCGCUAGUAAUCGUGGAUCAGAAUGCCACGGUGAAUACGUUCCCGGGCCUUGUACACACCGCCCGUCACACCAUGGGAGUGGGCUGCAAAAGAAGUAGGUAGUUUAACCUUCGGGAGGACGCUUACCACUUUGUGGUUCAUGACUGGGGUGAAGUCGUAACAAGGUAGCGCUAGGGGAACCUGGCGCUGGAUCACCUCCUUAAACGAUGAU